Molecule: long non-coding RNA, 705 nt
Filed under: Linum usitatissimum (flax)
Lineage: Eukaryota; Viridiplantae; Streptophyta; Magnoliopsida; Malpighiales; Linaceae
Description: long non-coding RNA (LUSI_LNC003628)
Source: RNAcentral
UUCUGGUCAGUUGAUAAGAUUUCAUGAAGCUCUCGCAAAAAGCGUUUUGCAGGAACUUGCAUUGCUGAAUAUCUCUAGUGCUUGAAGAUUUCAAGGCAUACGAGCUAGCAACCAAAAGAGUUCCUACAACCCAAUCAAACAAGAUGGAAAUGGGCAAAGGGAUAUACGCAAGUUUCCAUGAGGGCAAUUUAGAAAAUUUUAUUACAAUGGUUGCGAUGAAUGAUGUAAAGUGGAGUUCUUUCCUAAAUCACUGAAUUUCAGUUGAAUAUAGGUCAAAUCCAACAAUUUCAGUUGAAUUUGCGGAGUUUCGUGCCUUGGGAAGAUGGAGUGAAGCCAUCACUGUGCAAUAUGUUGAGGGAAACUCACCGGAAAAACAACCGGAAGCCACGACAGUGAAAAUGACCAAUCUUUGAGUUCUCGGCUGGAGAUGCCGCCGACUAUCGACCAGCAGUUGUCACAGACACAGAGCUCGGUUGCAAGGUUUCGGAGGCUCGUCCUCGUUGCCUUGUCCAUGCCGCCACCCUGUCUCAACGACGGCGGCUGACUGGAGCAGUUCAGAACUCGCCGGCUCUUUCAGCUUUACUCACAGUCAAGAGGAUGUCCUCUUAUCCUUCGACCACGUCAUCUUCAAUAUGGGCCCCUGUGGUCCCCAGGUUCUUGCUGAAUCAGAUGCCUACGUGGCAAUUCUCAAUAUCUCUCCAAAAC